Molecule: non-coding RNA, 85 nt
Organism: Felis catus (domestic cat)
Lineage: Eukaryota; Metazoa; Chordata; Mammalia; Carnivora; Felidae
Source: Rfam
ACCUGAGUGGCUCAGUCGGCUAAGCAUCUGACUUCGGCUCAGGUCACGAUCCCACGGUCUGUGAGUUCAAGCCCCACAUCAGGCG